UCACCACAACGAGCUAUUGGCAGCCCUCAAAAGGGGCCAUAAGGGAAAACGGUGCAAAGCCGUUGCGGACCCGCCGCUGUGAUCGGGGACGAAAGCCGCCGGUAUGCCACUAUCCAAUGGGGUGGGAAGGUUCGGCGAGUAGGUUGAUCCGAGAGUCAGAAGACCUGCCUGUAGCGUUAUAGCCGCG
Molecule: non-coding RNA, 187 nt
Filed under: Syntrophobacter sp. SbD1
Lineage: Bacteria; Pseudomonadati; Thermodesulfobacteriota; Syntrophobacteria; Syntrophobacterales; Syntrophobacteraceae
Source: RNAcentral